This 69-nucleotide small RNA is filed under the name chicken gut metagenome. The record is from RNAcentral.
CCAUCUACAACCGCACAGAUAAGGUUUACAAAAGAUUUAUCUUACCUUAAUGGCGAGUCUUAGUUUAUA